ACCUGUCGUUCCGGACCUGGCUCUGGCUGAACCCCGGUGAACUUCCCCUGCAUCCCCUUCCCUGCCGGCGAGCUUGCAGCCGUGAACUUCCCGUGCCCGACCCGAGCAUCUCCGAGAGGUGUGAUCCAAGCCGUGGCGGUAAGGCUGCAGCCAGAGGAAGGAGAUUGCCGGCCCGCCCCUGGCUCCUGCUCAGCCUCCCUAAUCAACGGAGGAAUGUCUCUGGACGCGAGUGCUCCUGGAUAAGCUGCUCUGUGCACCGCUUGGCUUCGUGAGCGCUUCCUUCGUGAGCCAUCUGUGGGGGUCACGCCGGGCAAAGCACGCCGCGUGCCCCGACGGAUCGGCGUGUCUUGGUGCAGUGGGGCCAGCAGCGGUCCUGUGGCCCGGCAGGAGGAUGCACAGGGUGGCUCAGUCCUGCCUUGCCAUGGGGCCCUUGUGCAUUGUGUGAGAGCAGUAACCCUCAGUGGGGGUGCCGUGGGCCAUGCCCAGCCUGCAGAAACGAGUAUGUGGCAACGAGGACUGGGAGAAAAGGGGACAUCGUGCAGAAAGCUCUUCUUGAUUUGGUCUAUCACCACCAUUGUGAGAUACACUGGAAUAAUUGCCCAUCUGACGACAGGAAAACAUGCAAGCCCUUGGAAGUGGAACUUGCUUUAUACAUAUGAGAAUGGAGCAAGCAAUGCUUCCAAUAAAAGAAUUGUGAAACUAUUCCCAUCGGUGGCCUGUCCUCUACCCACAAUGGUGAUGGAGAAGACUGUUGGAUUUCCAUCAGGAGAACAAUUUGAGUGUGGACUCUACUGCCACAAAUUUAAGAAAGCUCUCCAGUUGCUGCUUGCCAAAGAAACAGGUGAUUUUUUUUUCCUUUUUUUUUUUUUUUUUUGAGAUAUUGACCAGUAAACAUGGGAAUCAACUUCAUCUGAAAUGCUUGUGUCUUAAUAUUUGUGUGACUUUCCUUCCUGCUCUAUGACUUGUUGAUUAUUUUUGAGUGCUCUAGGGCUUAAAGCA
This 999-nucleotide long non-coding RNA is filed under the name Anser brachyrhynchus (Pink-footed goose). RNAcentral describes it as "lncRNA (ENSABRG00000012785.1)". Lineage: Eukaryota; Metazoa; Chordata; Aves; Anseriformes; Anatidae. The record is from RNAcentral.